CAGUCUGCAUGGAGCCGACCUUGAAAUACCACCCUUUAAUGUUUGAUGUUCUAACGUGGACCCGUAAUCCGGGUUGCGGACAGUGUCUGGUGGGUAGUUUGACUGGGGCGGUCUCCUCCUAAAGAGUAACGGAGGAGCACGAAGGUUGGCUAAUCCUGGUCGGACAUCAGGAGGUUAGUGCAAUGGCAUAAGCCAGCUUGACUGCGAGCGUGACGGCGCGAGCAGGUGCGAAAGCAGGUCAUAGUGAUCCGGUGGUUCUGAAUGGAAGGGCCAUCGCUCAACGGAUAAAAGGUACUCCGGGGAUAACAGGCUGAUACCGCCCAAGAGUUCAUAUCGACGGCGGUGUUUGGCACCUCGAUGUCGGCUCAUCACAUCCUGGGGCUGAAGUAGGUCCCAAGGGUAUGGCUGUUCGCCAUUUAAAGUGGUACGCGAGCUGGGUUUAGAACGUCGUGAGACAGUUCGGUCCCUAUCUGCCGUGGGCGCUGGAGAACUGAGGGGGGCUGCUCCUAGUACGAGAGGACCGGAGUGGACGCAUCACUGGUGUUCGGGUUGUCAUGCCAAUGGCACUGCCCGGUAGCUAAAUGCGGAAGAGAUAAGUGCUGAAAGCAUCUAAGCACGAAACUUGCCCCGAGAUGAGUUCUCCCUGAGACUUAGAGUCUCCUGAAGGAACGUUGAAGACGACGACGUUGAUAGGCCGGGUGUGUAAGCGCAGCGAUGCGUUGAGCUAACCGGUACUAAUGAACCGUGAGGCUUAACCUUACA
This 762-nucleotide ribosomal RNA is filed under the name Salmonella enterica. RNAcentral's name for it is "partial 23S ribosomal RNA". It matches the Rfam family "Bacterial large subunit ribosomal RNA", at positions 2172 to 2925 of the family's 2925-position model. Lineage: Bacteria; Pseudomonadati; Pseudomonadota; Gammaproteobacteria; Enterobacterales; Enterobacteriaceae. The record is from RNAcentral.